Molecule: long non-coding RNA, 216 nt
Filed under: Lathyrus oleraceus (garden pea)
Lineage: Eukaryota; Viridiplantae; Streptophyta; Magnoliopsida; Fabales; Fabaceae
Description: Pisum sativum (pea) long non-coding RNA (PSAT_LNC039051)
Source: RNAcentral
UUUACCAUAUUUCAUAAUAAAUGCAUGAAAAACAAUUAUAACACUUCCAUUUUAAGACAAAUGCUGCACUUUCUUUGUAAUUUUACCGCAUUUCUUUAUAAAUGCGGGUAAAACAGGUAUACAAAUACCAUAUUUUAGGAUAAAUGUGGUACCUACUUUACAACCUUACCACAUUUCGUAAUAAAUGCAUGAAAAACAAUUAUAACACAUCCAUUU